UGAUUAUGUUGGUAAACUUUUAUUUUAUAUUGUAGCUUCCAAACUUUGUUCUGUCAGGAAGUUUUAAGUAUAUUUGUAUACUUAUAAACAAUACCAAGUUUUAAGAGAAGAUGUUUAUAAUUCAGAAUAUAAUGGAACUAAUAAUCAAGAUGGAUAUUAUGUUCCAAACAAGUAACUUGCUGUGUUUUCUUUUCAAUGGAUUCAAGUGAGUUUUUAAGAGCAAUUUGAUGAUCUUGUUACGAAAAUCAGAUAUGAUAAAAGUUUGUUCAACUUAAAGAUUAAACCUUUCCUAUUUAUUUAAUGGGUUGGGUUGAGGUUUAUAAAUUGUAUUUAUAUUUCUUAAGUUAGUUUAUGAAGUCAAAUUAUCAUAAGACAUGUUGUUUGGAGUUAGAGAUUGAUAUAGUGAAUUGGAUUAGUAGAAUGGUUUGUAAAUAAGCAGUUGUGGGUAGUUCAUGAAAGAGGUUAGAAGGUAUGAGAAAGUUAAUUUCUUUAUCUAAUUGUAGUAAGGAUGUUAAUUGUUGUUCAUAUUAUUGUGAGGUGAUUGAUGGAGAUUGAUAAAGAAUUUAGAGAUGUCGGACCCUUGAAGAUUAUAAUGGAAUCGAGCGUUCUUUGGGGAAAUGAAGGAGAAGCUGCUAAAGCAGUGACGUACAACAUUUGUGGAGAAGGUUUGCUCAUUAUGUGUUAGAGCGGGUAUUGCUCUGGAGCGGAUAUUGCUCCGUUAUGUGAGGGUCAUGACCUAAAAGUCUUGCAAGCAGUACAAAAUGGAAGAGGGAGACGUCCCUUGUAUAAAGCUUAGAGAAUUCGCCUGAAAGGCAACUCUAUUCGUGUUCUCUUCUCCAGUAUAAUAUGAUUUCUGAAAGAAAAUAGAAUAUGUAUAUGAGUAUUCGAGUGGUUUGUGGAAAGUUAUUUCUAACUUUAAUUUCUGAAAUAAUGUUUUACUCACCCAAGUUUUAGAGUUCAUGCGCCAAUAUUGGAAAUGAUUAUCAAGGAACUUGUUAGGAAUUUAUGCAGGAGUUAACUAUGAUAUACAUAUGGAUUAAAGGUUUUUGGAUCAUAUGGAUUGAAUGUCUUUGUGUAUGAUCCACAGAAGUGGGAGAGAUUUAUUGACGUAAGGUAUGUUAGAGUUGACUUUGAAGGAUCGUAUUAGUUCUAUGGAAGUAGCAUUACAAACCGUGUUCAAAUAUUUAUCAUAUACUUCUUUAUUUAUGACUUCGAUGUA
This is a long non-coding RNA of Beta vulgaris subsp. vulgaris (sugar beet), 1219 nucleotides long. RefSeq lists it as uncharacterized. The transcript is spliced from 2 exons. The record is from RefSeq and is a predicted model, not a curated record. Lineage: Eukaryota; Viridiplantae; Streptophyta; Magnoliopsida; Caryophyllales; Amaranthaceae.